UUAAAUUUUUGAAGUUAUGUUAGCUUUUUUGUUGGGUGAAAUCAGUAUAAAGAGUUUCUCUUUCUUUUAAAAUUAAUAGGAAUUAAAAAACUUUGAUUUAAAACCAGGAUUAGAUACCCUGUUAUUCUAAGUUAUAUUUAGACAGGGUAGUAAAAGCUGUUCUUCAAACCCAAAGAUUUUGGCGGCACUUUAUCCAAAUAGAGGAGCUUGUCCCUUAAUCGAUAGUCCCCGUUUUAUCUUUCCUCUGUUUGUAGAGCUUGUAUACCGCCGUUGUCAGAUUACUUUUAGAGAAUGUUUUCAAGUUAAAAGACUUUUUUACUUCAGGUCAAGGUGCAGUUUAUAUAGAGGUGGAGGUGAGCUACAAUUUUCUUUAGAAAUACGGAUUUCAAGCCUUGAAGCUGGUUGAAGGUGGAUUUAUUAGUAAAGUAA
This 429-nucleotide ribosomal RNA is filed under the name Daphnia dentifera. RNAcentral's name for it is "partial 12S rRNA". Lineage: Eukaryota; Metazoa; Arthropoda; Branchiopoda; Diplostraca; Daphniidae. The record is from RNAcentral.